UACGGAGGGUGCGAGCGUUGUCCGGAUUUAUUGGGCGUAAAGAGCGUGUAGGCGGUUUGGUAGGUCCGUUGUGAAAACUCGAGGCUCAACCUCGAGACGCCGAUGGAAACCAUCAGACUAGAGUCCGGAAGAGGAGGGUGGAAUUCCUGGUGUAGCGGUGAAAUGCGCAGAUAUCAGGAAGAACACCCGUGGCUAAGGCGGCUCUCUAGUACGGUACUGACGCUGAGACGCGAAAGCGUGGGGAGCGAACAGG
This 253-nucleotide ribosomal RNA is filed under the name uncultured bacterium. RNAcentral describes it as "partial 16S ribosomal RNA". It matches the Rfam family "Bacterial small subunit ribosomal RNA", at positions 524 to 776 of the family's 1533-position model. The record is from RNAcentral.